RNAcentral lists this transfer RNA (27 nucleotides) under Heteroscenes pallidus (pallid cuckoo). RNAcentral's name for it is "Cacomantis pallidus partial tRNA-Leu". Lineage: Eukaryota; Metazoa; Chordata; Aves; Cuculiformes; Cuculidae. The record is from RNAcentral.
UAGCGUGGCAGAGACCGGUAAAUGCAA